UACAGAGGUCCCAAGCGUUGUUCGGAUUCACUGGGCGUAAAGGGUGCGUAGGUGGUGGGGUAAGUCGGAUGUGAAAGCUCGGAGCUCAACUCCGAAAUGGCAUUGGAAACUACCCUGCUAGAGGAUUGGAGGGGGGACUGGAAUACUUGGUGUAGCAGUGAAAUGCGUAGAUAUCAGGAGGAACACCAGUGGCGAAGGCGGCUCACUGGCCCGGUACUGACGCUGAGGUGCGAAAGCGUGGGGAGCAAACAGG
RNAcentral lists this ribosomal RNA (253 nucleotides) under uncultured bacterium. RNAcentral describes it as "partial 16S ribosomal RNA". It matches the Rfam family "Bacterial small subunit ribosomal RNA", at positions 524 to 776 of the family's 1533-position model. The record is from RNAcentral.